CUACGGGGGGUGCAAGCGUUAUUCGGAUUUAUUGGGCGUAAAGAGCGCGUAGGCGGCUUGGUAAGUCAGAUGUGAAAGCCCGGGGCUCAACCCCGGAAGUGCAUUUGAAACUAUCAGGCUUGAGUAUGGGAGAGGGAAGUGGAAUUCCUGGUGUAGAGGUGAAAUUCGUAGAUAUCAGGAGGAACACCGGUGGCGAAGGCGACUUCCUGGACCAAUACUGACGCUGAGGCGCGAAGGCGUGGGGAGCAAACAGGAUUAGAUACCCCAGUAGUCC
RNAcentral lists this ribosomal RNA (274 nucleotides) under uncultured bacterium. Its description in RNAcentral is "partial 16S ribosomal RNA". It matches the Rfam family "Bacterial small subunit ribosomal RNA", at positions 523 to 796 of the family's 1533-position model. The record is from RNAcentral.